Molecule: non-coding RNA, 1083 nt
Organism: Ictidomys tridecemlineatus (thirteen-lined ground squirrel)
Lineage: Eukaryota; Metazoa; Chordata; Mammalia; Rodentia; Sciuridae
Source: RefSeq, a predicted model, not a curated record
AGUAGUGGAAACAGUACCUGGAGAGUAAAUAUCUGAUGUCACCAUAGCCAGAUCAGUUGGAAGCUCUGCUCAAAGGAAACCAGUGCUGUGUGACGGGCACAGAACAGCAAAGAAGUGAUGAUCUCCAUGAGCUUUUUGAUGUACAUCUGGCAACAACCAUUUGAGUGGAGAAAGGAUUCAAGAUAAGAACAGAAAUUGGACAAAAACAUCAAGCAGAAGCCCAGUCAGGAGGGCAAUGAUAUGGGGACUUGGAUAAUUUUUAGCCAUAAGCUCCCAUGCAUCUUGACUCUGAAGAGACAAAGGGCAUCUUUACAGAUCCCAAGGCAAUCAAGAGGCCCCAGGAGAAUUCCCAACACUGCAAAGCUACAAACACAUGCAACUCUUCCAAAGCCAAGCUGUGUUACCAGGGAAGGAAAGAGCUUUUACUUUGGGUAUGCAAGCUGCUUGUUUGGAAAUAAAGUUGGUCCCUAGGCUCCAGUAGAGUCAAAACAUUGCUCCAUGCUACCUGCUGCCUUAGGUCUAGAGUGGGGCCUAAGAAUCUGCAUUUCAAACGAUAUCCCAAGUAAAGUUAAUACUGCUGGCAAGGGGACUACAUAUUGGGAAUCACCGGCAUUAAGCUACUCAAUUUAUAAAGGAAACUCCAAUGACCAGCUGGCCUAAGUUCUCCAAUGACCAGCCUGUCUGCCAAGUUCAGGAAAGGGGGAGAGCAACACCAAGAGAUCAGAAAAAGGCAUAGAAGGGCAGCUGCUGGACGCUGUGAAGAGACGCAACCUGCAGUUUUAUCAAGGAGCUCAUAAGGAAAGGUAUCACAGAGCAUGUAACCUUUUAAGACUGGAUUCUUAUACCCAGAAGUGGUAUUUCUGGAUCAAAGGAUUCCUGCUCAUGACAAUGAAUACAACUAUUUGGUACUGGAAGUCAACUGGAUAGAAGAUGCUUGCUGGAAACUAGUCUAUGUUAUAAAGCCUAGAAUAGCUACCCUAGACUAAAAGAAAAAAGGCGGCAAGGAAAAAUUAACAAAUAACUACCAUACAAUGCCACCUCUCUUUGAAUAAAGAAGUGGAGCUUAUAUCUCCUCCCCUUGAA